GAUGAACGCUGGCGGCGUGCCUAAUACAUGCAAGUCGAGCGAACUGAUUAGAAGCUUGCUUCUAUGACGUUAGCGGCGGACGGGUGAGUAACACGUGGGCAACCUGCCUGUAAGACUGGGAUAACUUCGGGAAACCGAAGCUAAUACCGGAUAGGAUCUUCUCCUUCAUGGGAGAUGAUUGAAAGAUGGUUUCGGCUAUCACUUACAGAUGGGCCCGCGGUGCAUUAGCUAGUUGGUGAGGUAACGGCUCACCAAGGCAACGAUGCAUAGCCGACCGGAAGGGGUGAUCGGCCACACUGGGACUGAGACACGGCCCAGACUCCUACGGGAGGCAGCAGUAGGGAAUCUUCCGCAAUGGACGAAAGUCUGACGGAGCAACGCCGCGUGAGUGAUGAAGGCUUUCGGGUCGUAAAACUCUGUUGUUAGGGAAGAACAAGUACAAGAGUAACUGCUUGUACCUUGACGGUACCUAACCAGAAAGCCACGGCUAACUACGUGCCAGCAGCCGCCGUAA
This 514-nucleotide ribosomal RNA is filed under the name uncultured bacterium. Its description in RNAcentral is "partial 16S ribosomal RNA". It matches the Rfam family "Bacterial small subunit ribosomal RNA", at positions 28 to 523 of the family's 1533-position model. The record is from RNAcentral.